Molecule: ribosomal RNA, 253 nt
Filed under: uncultured bacterium
Lineage: Bacteria
Description: partial 16S ribosomal RNA
Rfam family: Bacterial small subunit ribosomal RNA
Source: RNAcentral
UACGAAGGGGGCUAGCGUUGUUCGGAAUCACUGGGCGUAAAGGGCGCGUAGGCGGCUUUAUAAGUCGGGGGUGAAAGCCUGUGGCUCAACCACAGAAUUGCCUUCGAUACUGUAGAGCUUGAGACCGGAAGAGGUAAGUGGAACUGCGAGUGUAGAGGUGAAAUUCGUAGAUAUUCGCAAGAACACCAGUGGCGAAGGCGGCUUACUGGUCCGGUACUGACGCUGAGGCGCGAAAGCGUGGGGAGCAAACAGG